CCCCUAGAUGUUCUGGGCCGCACGCGCGCUACACUGAACAGUUCAACAAGUCUUAACCUUGGCCGAUAGGUCUGGGUAAUCUUUGAACGCUGUUCGUGAUUGGGAUAGACCUUUGCAAUUAUGGGUCUUCAACGAGGAAUUCCUAGUAAACGCAAGUCAUCAGCUUGCAUUGAUUACGUCCCUGCCCUUUGUACACACCGCCCGUCGCACCUACCGAUUGAAUGACUCGGUGAAAUCCCCGGACUGCAGCCUUGACACCCUCGGGUGACUCGGCAGUGGAAAGCGGAUUAAACCUCGCCAUUUAGAGGAAGGUGAAGUCGUANCA
This 325-nucleotide ribosomal RNA is filed under the name uncultured eukaryote. Its description in RNAcentral is "partial 18S ribosomal RNA". It matches the Rfam family "Eukaryotic small subunit ribosomal RNA", at positions 1470 to 1796 of the family's 1831-position model. The record is from RNAcentral.